RNAcentral lists this small RNA (68 nucleotides) under Nocardia mexicana. RNAcentral's name for it is "ASdes TB sRNA". It matches the Rfam family "ASdes TB sRNA". Lineage: Bacteria; Bacillati; Actinomycetota; Actinomycetes; Mycobacteriales; Nocardiaceae. The record is from Rfam by way of RNAcentral.
AGAGCGACCGGAUCCACGCCCCGGGUGACGACCAGAUAGUCGCGGAGGACGACGCUGUGGCGGUUCUC